RNAcentral lists this ribosomal RNA (439 nucleotides) under uncultured bacterium. RNAcentral's name for it is "partial 16S ribosomal RNA". It matches the Rfam family "Bacterial small subunit ribosomal RNA", at positions 339 to 795 of the family's 1533-position model. The record is from RNAcentral.
CUACGGGGCGCUGCAGUGAGGAAUAUUGCACAAUUGGUUUAACCCUGUUUCCUCAACUCCUCGUGGAGGAUGACGCAUUUCGGUGUGUAAACUCCUUUUAUAUGUCAAGAAAAUGACGGUAGCAUAUGAAUAAGCACCGGCUAACUCCGUGCCAGCAGCCGCGGUAAUACGGAGGGUGCAAGCGUUACUCGGAAUCACUGGGCGUAAAGGACGCGUAGGCGGGCUUGUAAGUCAGGUGUGAAAUCCUACAGCUUAACUGUAGAACUGCACUUGAAACUACGAGCCUAGAGUAUGGGAGGGGCAGAUGGAAUUAGUGGUGUAGGGGUAAAAUCCGUAGAUAUCACUAGGAAUACCUAAAGCGAAGGCGAUCUCCUGGAACAUUACUGACGCUAAGGCGUGAAAGCGUGGGGAGCAAACAGGAUUAGAUACCCGAGUAGUC